RNAcentral lists this ribosomal RNA (247 nucleotides) under uncultured bacterium. RNAcentral's name for it is "partial 16S ribosomal RNA". It matches the Rfam family "Bacterial small subunit ribosomal RNA", at positions 523 to 769 of the family's 1533-position model. The record is from RNAcentral.
AUACGUAGGGAGCAAGCGUUAUCCGGAUUUACUGGGUGUAAAGGGCGCGUAGGCGGGAGUAUAAGUCAGAUGUGAAAUCUGGGGGCUCAACCCCCAAACUGCAUUCGAAACUGUAUUUCUUGAGUGAUGGAGAGGCAAGUGGAAUUCCUAGUGUAGCGGUGAAAUGCGUAGAUAUUAGGAGGAACACCAAUGGCGAAGGCGACUUGCUGGACAUUAACUGACGCUGAGGCGCGAAAGCGUGGGGAGC